This is an RNA transcript of Macadamia integrifolia, 1333 nucleotides long. RefSeq lists it as uncharacterized. NCBI's taxonomy places the organism in Eukaryota, Viridiplantae, Streptophyta, Magnoliopsida, Proteales, Proteaceae. The record is from RefSeq and is a predicted model, not a curated record. The transcript is spliced from 3 exons.
UAGCUAGGGCUUCGUCUCUUGUUUAAAAGGAGAGCUUCGUGUUCCACAGCAGCACACGAGAGAGAGAGAGAGAUGGGGAGCACUUCGUCUGAAACAGAAAUGACGGCAUCGGUUUGGAACAACAGCUUUGAUUCUGAUGAAGAAGUUGCAGAAGUGAGUGGCCCACGAACUGGAUUGGGGGAUAGAGAUCCAUGGUCCAAGAAAAAGAAGAAAUACCAAGUCUUUCUUGAAGGGUAUGUGGAAACAGGUGAUGAGGAGGAUCAAGAACAAGGAGGAUCAAAAGGGUUCUCCAGAACGAAGAGCUUAACUGAUGAUGAUCUUGAUGAGUUGAAGGGUUGUUUAGAUCUUGGGUUUGGUUUCAACUACGAUGAAAUACCUGAGCUCUGCAACACUUUACCUGCUCUUGAACUCUGUUACUCCAUGAGUCAGAGGUUCUUGGAUGACCAGCAGAAGUCUCCAGAGAGUUCUGCGGCUUCUUCAGCCACUUCUGAGACCUGCUCUCCGUCGUCUGGUCCGAUUGCCAACUGGAGGAUCUCUAGCCCUGAAUUUAGCUGGAUCAGCUGAUCUAUCUAGAUGAAGCUCUGAUGAGUUGUGUCAGGUUAUAAUCUUGUCUUCUAGGAUUAUUUAGUGAUGAUCCAGAGGAAGUUAAAGCAAGGUUGAAGCUUUGGGCUCAAGCGGUGGCAUGUACUGUUAGAUUAUGUAGCUAGCAGUGAUGAGACAAUGGGUAUUUGUUUAUUUGUUGAGAGAAUUAUCUGCCAUAGACCUUGCCAAGGACAGCAUCUGCAGGGAUGCACUUUUUUCUGCUGGGUCUGGCUGGGAUCUGUUGAUUAUCAUGGCUAUGGCUAUUGAUGGAAAUGGAGGCAGGGAAGAGUAAAGAGGAGAUGAAGAGGAGAAGAGCAAGGGAGGAGAAGAAAGAAGGUGGCAUUAUCUUCGAGAGAAACCAAAACUCCAAAUGAGGGGAGACUCAUAAUACUUGCAUUUGAGGCAAAGAUAGCUUUUAUUAGCAAUCUUGUAUAAUUGUAUCUACUCUAGUCUGCUUAAAUAAAUAAAGCAUUCAUCCUUUUAUAAAUUAAAAAUAAAAUAUAAAAAAAUAUAAAAAACGAAGCUUUGGUCCAGCAUACUUCUAAGUUCUAACCUUAUAGAAGAUUGUAGUAGGUAUAUUUUCCUGAGCAGCUUUCCAACUUGAAAAGAUUGUAUGUAUAUUUUCCUUAGCAGGUUUCCAACUUUAAGUUUACAAAUGACUGAUUUUAGAAACAAAAUGUCAGUGAACAAUGCUAGCAUGUUAAAAGUACCCCUCUAGAAUAUAUUCUUGGUGAAAUAGAUUUCAGUGGAA